UUUAAAGGACAUAGAAAGAAGAUUUAAAAGCUAAUUUAAAAGUAUAAAAUUUAGAAAAAUUAUAUAUAUAAGAAAUCCAACAAUUACUGUUUUGUUAUAACUCUGAAAAGUCCAUGAAAAGGGACUAACAAGAAAAAUCAGAAGAUCUUAGAGCAGAUCAGUAUGUUUUUCUCCUUAUAUAAUUCCUCUGAAAUCUGGCAAUGCUUAAUAAGUCAUGGCAAUACAUUUCUUUGCAUGAAAUCAAUAAGACCGGUUUUCAAUAGUGAUUUUAUUAACCGGAAACUUUGACUGGAGUAUCAUGUUUUAAAGAAACCUGUCUAAGCUCUGAAGACUUGAAGCCAAUAAGAGUGCCACGGAGAAAGCCUGGUAUCCUACUUGGAAACCCUGAAGAUGGCUGGCGCUGGAGAGUCAGGCCCAUGCCCUACCAUCACUGGCGGUUGGUCAGAGUAGAAGGGGAGCAGUAAGGACGCCUCCGCGUCCCUGCGGAACCCCCACACACUCUGGGCUGCAACGAGUAGGAGGGCUACUGAGAUGGGCCUUAAAGCCUAGAGCAUGGGCUCAGGUGGAGUUGCUACAGGUGAGGGAUUCACCUAACGCAGCAGAUACUGCAGGCAGGCCUGGUGGCAGCUGGAUGGCUUGGCUUCCUGGCCACUACAGGGCACAUUAAGAUUCAAUCAUGAAAUUCCAGCAAAGGUAGUCAGUUACCAUUCUUGUUGUGUUUAUGCAAACAUCAGGCCAAAUUAAAUACAGUAGAUAAAUUAAUCUUGAUUUGGCUUUUUGAUAGCCAUAGAGGAAUUUUUAGGAAUAAAAACUCUAUUUCAAUGGAGGUUAUUAAAACUGAAAUGUUUUCUUUCCCUUCCACUGGACCAUUUGUUAUAGUUUGUCUCUGCCAGGUCACAAGCCCAGCUCCUUCUGUGCCCAGGACAGCAGGGAGCCUGACUGGAAGGUGACCUCUGACUAGACACACCCACUGCAGAUCACCCUCAAGAAGACAGCGGACCUCGGCGGACCCCUUGUAACCCUCCUGAUGCUGUUGACUUUCGGCCCUUGCAUUAUUAACAGACUAGUCCAAUUUGUCAAGAAGUGUAUAAAAAUAGUUCAGUUGAUAGUUCAGUCCGUCUCAUGAUUGAGCCGGAAGUUCCAAGACAAGGGGGGAAUGAAAGGACAGAACAGGCCUGAUAGCUGUGUUGCUGUUGAAAGGACAGAAUGGAACUGAUAGCUGUGUCCCUAAUGAAAGGACAGAACAGAACUGAUAUUACUCAGCCUGCCCUUAUCUCAGCCAAUGGGAAAGCAAGGGAAACUAGCACCCAGCCCUCACUCAACCAACCAGAAUCAACCAAGUGCCUCCAAACCCCUCCCCAAGCCCUAUAAAUUCUUUGUUCUC
Myotis daubentonii (Daubenton's bat) is the source of this 1384-nucleotide long non-coding RNA. RefSeq lists it as uncharacterized. The record is from RefSeq and is a predicted model, not a curated record. The transcript is spliced from 3 exons. Lineage: Eukaryota; Metazoa; Chordata; Mammalia; Chiroptera; Vespertilionidae.